Molecule: long non-coding RNA, 239 nt
Filed under: Elaeis guineensis (African oil palm)
Lineage: Eukaryota; Viridiplantae; Streptophyta; Magnoliopsida; Arecales; Arecaceae
Description: long non-coding RNA (EGUI_LNC039643)
Source: RNAcentral
CAACCCAAGAGAAGAAAAAAUUAGAUUUUUAAAAAAUUAUUUGAAGUACUUGCACCCAAUAACAAAUUGAAAAAUAUUUAUACCAUGCUAAAAUAAAAUUAAAUGAGUAGCAGAAAAUAAAAAGCAAAGACAGACACACGAUCACAAACAUAAAUAAUUUUUACAUAAGAUUAACCAAAACUUAAUUAUAUGAGAAUAAAAUAAAUAUGCACAUCAUGAUGAGUAAUAGAAUAAUGCAC